Non-coding RNA from Paralichthys olivaceus (Japanese flounder), 194 nucleotides. The record is from RefSeq and is a predicted model, not a curated record. Lineage: Eukaryota; Metazoa; Chordata; Actinopteri; Pleuronectiformes; Paralichthyidae.
CAAAGUACAGACCUCUCCACAGCCAAGAAAUGUYUGGAGGACGGAUGGACCCACUGGCUCCCAUUCUCCAGCUAAAAAGAUGGCAGAGACGCCUCCACCAGCCAGACAUUUCUGGUCAAAGGACAAUUCGCACACCCCUGUGAAUUCUCCACCUGCAAAGGUUUCCAAAAUACAGACUCCUCCCCAACCAAGAC